AUUGAACGCUGGCGGCAGGCUUAACACAUGCAAGUCGAGCGGGCGAGGUUGCUUCGGUAACUGAGCUAGUGGCGAACGGGUGAGUAAAGCAUCGGAACGUACCGUGUAGUGGGGGAUAACGUAGCGAAAGUUGCGCUAAUACCGCAUACGCACUGAGGUGGAAAGCAGGGGAUCGCAAGACCUUGCGCUAUACGAGCGGCCGAUGUCAGAUUAGCUAGUUGGUAGGGUAAAGGCCUACCAAGGCGACGAUCUGUAGCGGGUCUGAGAGGAUGAUCCGCCACACUGGGACUGAGACACGGCCCAGACUCCUACGGGAGGCAGCAGUGGGGAAUUUUGGACAAUGGGGGCAACCCUGAUCCAGCAAUGCCGCGUGAGUGAAGAAGGCCUUCGGGUUGUAAAGCUCUUUUGUCAGGGAAGAAACAGCAGCUCUAACACAGUCUGCGAAUGACGGUACCUGAAGAAUAAGCACCGGCUAACUACGUG
Molecule: ribosomal RNA, 483 nt
Filed under: uncultured bacterium
Lineage: Bacteria
Description: bacterial SSU rRNA
Rfam family: Bacterial small subunit ribosomal RNA
Source: RNAcentral